This 391-nucleotide ribosomal RNA is filed under the name uncultured Scuticociliatia. RNAcentral describes it as "partial small subunit ribosomal RNA". It matches the Rfam family "Eukaryotic small subunit ribosomal RNA", at positions 30 to 432 of the family's 1831-position model. Lineage: Eukaryota; Ciliophora; Oligohymenophorea. The record is from RNAcentral.
GCUUGUCUCAAAGAUUAAGCCAUGCAUGUCUAAGUAUAACUCUUUUACUUUGAAAACUGCGAACGGCUCAUUAUAUCAGUUAUAGUUUCUUUGAUAGUCCCUUACUACUUGGAUACCCGUAGUAAUUCUAGAGCUAAUACAUGCUAUCAAGCCCGACUUCUUGAAGGGUUGUAUUUAUUAGACUUAAGCCAAUAUUCCUUGUGUCUAUUGCGAUGAUUCAUAAUAACUGAUCGAAUCUCAAAUUUGAGAUAAAUCAUUCAAGUUUCUGCCCUAUCAGCUUUCGAUGGUAGUGUAUUGGACUACCAUGGCAGUAACGGGUAACGAAGAAUUAGGGUUCGAUUUCGGAGAGGGAGCAUGAGAAACGGCUACCACAUCUAAGGAAGGCAGCAGG